GGGGGAAAGCCCGGCCUCAAUGGGGCAGGGUGCCAGGAACCGCCGGGGGGGAAACCCCACGCCCAGUGCAACAGAGAGCAAACCGCCGAUGGCCCGCGCAAGCGGGAUCAGGUAAGGGUGAAAGGGUGCGGUAAGAGCGCACCGCGCGGCUGGUAACAGUCCGUGGCACGGUAAACUCCACCCGGAGCAAGGCCAAAUAGGGGUUCAUAAGGUACGGCCCGUACUGAACCCGGGUAGGCUGCUUGAGCCAGUGAGCGAUUGCUGGCCUAGAUGAAU
This 276-nucleotide RNase P RNA is filed under the name Escherichia coli. RNAcentral describes it as "RNase P RNA component class A". It matches the Rfam family "Bacterial RNase P class A", at positions 42 to 313 of the family's 367-position model. From Rfam's summary of the family: Ribonuclease P (RNase P) is a ubiquitous endoribonuclease, found in archaea, bacteria and eukarya as well as chloroplasts and mitochondria. Its best characterised activity is the generation of mature 5'-ends of tRNAs by cleaving the 5'-leader elements of precursor-tRNAs. The record is from RNAcentral. Lineage: Bacteria; Pseudomonadati; Pseudomonadota; Gammaproteobacteria; Enterobacterales; Enterobacteriaceae.